UUUAUGGAGAGUUUGAUCCUGGCUCAGGAUGAACGCUGGCGGCGUGCCUAAUACAUGCAAGUCGAGCGAACGGACGAGAAGCUUGCUUCUCUGAUGUUAGCGGCGGACGGGUGAGUAACACGUGGAUAACCUACCUAUAAGACUGGGAUAACUUCGGGAAACCGGAGCUAAUACCGGAUAAUAUUUUGAACCGCAUGGUUCAAAAGUGAAAGACGGUCUUGCUGUCACUUAUAGAUGGAUCCGCGCUGCAUUAGCUAGUUGGUAAGGUAACGGCUUACCAAGGCAACGAUGCAUAGCCGACCUGAGAGGGUGAUCGGCCACACUGGAACUGAGACACGGUCCAGACUCCUACGGGAGGCAGCAGUAGGGAAUCUUCCGCAAUGGGCGAAAGCCUGACGGAGCAACGCCGCGUGAGUGAUGAAGGUCUUCGGAUCGUAAAACUCUGUUAUUAGGGAAGAACAUAUGUGUAAGUAACUGUGCACAUCUUGACGGUACCUAAUCAGAAAGCCACGGCUAACUACGUGCCAGCAGCCGCGGUAAUACGUAGGUGGCAAGCGUUAUCCGGAAUUAUUGGGCGUAAAGCGCGCGUAGGCGGUUUUUUAAGUCUGAUGUGAAAGCCCACGGCUCAACCGUGGAGGGUCAUUGGAAACUGGAAAACUUGAGUGCAGAAGAGGAAAGUGGAAUUCCAUGUGUAGCGGUGAAAUGCGCAGAGAUAUGGAGGAACACCAGUGGCGAAGGCGACUUUCUGGUCUGUAACUGACGCUGAUGUGCGAAAGCGUGGGGAUCAAACAGGAUUAGAUACCCUGGUAGUCCACGCCGUAAACGAUGAGUGCUAAGUGUUAGGGGGUUUCCGCCCUUAGUGCUGCAGCUAACGCAUUAAGCACUCCGCCUGGGGAGUACGACCGCAAGGUUGAAACUCAAAGGAAUUGACGGGGACCCGCACAAGCGGUGGAGCAUGUGGUUUAAUUCGAAGCAACGCGAAGAACCUUACCAAAUCUUGACAUCCUUUGACAACUCUAGAGAUAGAGCUUUCCCCUUCGGGGGACAAAGUGACAGGUGGUGCAUGGUUGUCGUCAGCUCGUGUCGUGAGAUGUUGGGUUAAGUCCCGCAACGAGCGCAACCCUUAAGCUUAGUUGCCAUCAUUAAGUUGGGCACUCUAAGUUGACUGCCGGUGACAAACCGGAGGAAGGUGGGGAUGACGUCAAAUCAUCAUGCCCUUAUGAUUUGGGCUACACACGUGCUACAAUGGACAAUACAAAGGGCAGCGAAACCGUGAGGUCAAGCAAAUCCCAUAAAGUUGUUCUCAGUUCGGAUUGUAGUCUGCAACUCGACUACAUGAAGCUGGAAUCGCUAGUAAUCGUAGAUCAGCAUGCUACGGUGAAUACGUUCCCGGGUCUUGUACACACCGCCCGUCACACCACGAGAGUUUGUAACACCCGAAGCCGGUGGAGUAACCUUUUAGGAGCUAGCCGUCGAAGGUGGGACAAAUGAUUGGGGUGAAGUCGUAACAAGGUAGCCGUAUCGGAAGGUGCGGCUGGAUCACCUCCUUUCU
RNAcentral lists this ribosomal RNA (1552 nucleotides) under Staphylococcus aureus. RNAcentral's name for it is "16S ribosomal RNA". It matches the Rfam family "Bacterial small subunit ribosomal RNA". The record is from RNAcentral. Lineage: Bacteria; Bacillati; Bacillota; Bacilli; Caryophanales; Staphylococcaceae.